ACCUGGGUGGCUUAGUCGGUUGAGCACCUGACUUUGGCUCAGGUCAUGAUCUCGUGGUUCGUGAGUUCGAGCCCCACAUCGGGCU
This 85-nucleotide transfer RNA is filed under the name Felis catus (domestic cat). It matches the Rfam family "tRNA". From Rfam's summary of the family: Transfer RNA (tRNA) molecules are approximately 80 nucleotides in length. Their secondary structure includes four short double-helical elements and three loops (D, anti-codon, and T loops). The record is from Rfam by way of RNAcentral. Lineage: Eukaryota; Metazoa; Chordata; Mammalia; Carnivora; Felidae. RNAcentral also lists the same sequence under 1 other name.